GUGCCAGCCGCCGCGGUAAUACGGAGGGUGCAAGCGUUGUUCGGAAUUACUGGGCGUAAAGCGCGCGUAGGCGGUUUGUUAAGUCAGAUGUGAAAGUCCCCGGCUCAACCGUGGAAGUGCAUUUGAAACUGGCAGACUUGAGUACUGGAGGGGGUGGUGGAAUUCCCGGUGUAGAGGUGAAAUUCGUAGAUAUCGGGAGGAAUACCGGUGGCGAAGGCGACCACCUGGCCAGAUACUGACGCUGAGGUGCGAAAGCGUGGGGAGCAAACAGGAUUAGAAACCCUGGUAGUCC
RNAcentral lists this ribosomal RNA (292 nucleotides) under uncultured bacterium. RNAcentral's name for it is "partial 16S ribosomal RNA". It matches the Rfam family "Bacterial small subunit ribosomal RNA", at positions 505 to 796 of the family's 1533-position model. The record is from RNAcentral.